This is a small nucleolar RNA of Brassica oleracea var. oleracea, 94 nucleotides long. It matches the Rfam family "Small nucleolar RNA Z122". Rfam says of the family: Z122 is a member of the C/D class of snoRNA which contain the C (UGAUGA) and D (CUGA) box motifs. The record is from Rfam. NCBI's taxonomy places the organism in Eukaryota, Viridiplantae, Streptophyta, Magnoliopsida, Brassicales, Brassicaceae.
UAUGGGAAGUGAUGAUAAGAUAUAUCAAUAUGUCAUAGGCAUAUAUGCAUAUGCAAUGCUGAACAACAUAUUUGCACGUCAGUCUGAUCCCAUU